GAUAAUAUAUUGAACCGCAUGGUUCAAUAGUGAAAGACGGUUUUGCUGUCACUUAUAGAUGGAUCCGCGCCGCAUUAGCUAGUUGGUAAGGUAACGGCUUACCAAGGCAACGAUGCGUGCCGACCUGAGAGGGUGAUCGGCCACACUGGAACUGAGACACGGUCCAGACUCCUACGGGAGGAGCAGUAGGGAAUCUUCCGCAAUGGGCGAAAGCUGACGGAGCAACGCCGCGUGAGUGAUGAAGGUCUUCGGAUCGUAAAACUCUGUUAUUAGGGAAGAACAAAUGUGUAAGUAACUAUGCACGUCUUGACGGUACCUAAUCAGAAAGCACGGCUAACUACGUGCCAGCAGCCGCGGUAAUAGUAGGUGGCAAGCGUUAUCCGGAAUUAUUGGGCGUAAAGCGCGCGUAGGCGUUUUUUAAGUCUGAUGUGAAAGCCCACGGCUCAACCGUGGAGGGUCAUUGGAAACUGGAAAACUUGAGUGCAGAAGAGGAAAGUGGAAUUCCAUGUGUAGCGGUGAAAUGCGCAGAGAUAGGAGGAACACCAGUGGCGAAGGCGACUUUCUGGUUGUAACUGACGCUGAUGUGCGAAAGCGUGGGGAUCAAACAGGAUUAGAUACCCUGGUAGUCCACGCCGUAAACGAUGAGUGCUAAGUGUUAGGGGUUUCCGCCCCUUAGUGCUGCAGCUAACGCAUUAAGCACUCCGCCUGGGGAGUACACCGCAAGGUUGAAACUCAAAGGAAUUGACGGGGACCCGCACAAGCGGUGGAGCAUGUGGUUUAAUUCGAGCAACGCGAAGAACCUUACCAAAUCUUGACAUCCUCUGACCCCUCUAGAGAUAGAGUUUUCCCCUUCGGGGGCAGAGUGACAGGUGGUGCAUGGUUGUCGUCGCUCGUGUCGUGAGAUGUUGGGUUAAGUCCCGCAACGAGCGCAACCCUUAAGCUUAGUUGCCAUCAUUAAGUUGGGCACUCUAAGUUGAUGCC
This 981-nucleotide ribosomal RNA is filed under the name Staphylococcus epidermidis. RNAcentral describes it as "bacterial SSU rRNA". It matches the Rfam family "Bacterial small subunit ribosomal RNA", at positions 172 to 1152 of the family's 1533-position model. The record is from RNAcentral. Lineage: Bacteria; Bacillati; Bacillota; Bacilli; Caryophanales; Staphylococcaceae.